Molecule: ribosomal RNA, 439 nt
Filed under: uncultured bacterium
Lineage: Bacteria
Description: partial 16S ribosomal RNA
Rfam family: Bacterial small subunit ribosomal RNA
Source: RNAcentral
CCUACGGGUGGCUGCAGUGGGGAAUAUUGCACAAUGGGGGAAACCCUGAUGCAGCGACGCCGCGUGAGUGAAGAAGUAUCUCGGUACGUAAAGCUCUAUCAGCAGGGAAGAUAAUGACGGUACCUGACCAAGAAGCCCCGGCUAACUACGUGCCAGCAGCCGCGGUAAUACGUAGGGGGCAAGCGUUAUCCGGAUUUACUGGGGUUAAUGGGUGCGCAGGCGGAAUUUCAAGUCAGCGGUAAAAUUUCGGGGCUAAACCCCGUCGUGCCGUUGAAACUGGCGUUCUUGAGUGAGCGAGAAGAAUGCGGAAUGCGUGGUGUAGCGGUGAAAUGCAUAGAUAUCACGAAGAACUCCGAUUGCGAAGGCAGCAGACCGGCGCGCAACUGACGCUCAGGCACGAAAGCGUGGGUAUCGAACAGGAUUAGAUACCCGGGUAGUC